GGUGGCUCAGUAGUAGAGCGCUUGCCUCGCAUGCUUGAGGCCCUGGGUUCGAUUCCUCAGCACCA
This 65-nucleotide transfer RNA is filed under the name Dipodomys ordii (Ord's kangaroo rat). It matches the Rfam family "tRNA". From Rfam's summary of the family: Transfer RNA (tRNA) molecules are approximately 80 nucleotides in length. Their secondary structure includes four short double-helical elements and three loops (D, anti-codon, and T loops). The record is from Rfam by way of RNAcentral. Lineage: Eukaryota; Metazoa; Chordata; Mammalia; Rodentia; Heteromyidae.